This 7349-nucleotide long non-coding RNA is filed under the name Theobroma cacao (cacao). RNAcentral's name for it is "long non-coding RNA (TCAC_LNC002704)". Lineage: Eukaryota; Viridiplantae; Streptophyta; Magnoliopsida; Malvales; Malvaceae. The record is from RNAcentral.
UAGCACAAGAGGAUGUUUGCGGUGACACAUAUGAUUGAUUUUGACAGGUAAUUCAACACAUUUUUUAUGGAGAUGGAAUCCACAAUCAAGAGAAAAGUAUGUAGAACUUAGCAACGGUUUCCAACACCCGAAACACUGAAAACUUUCAAGUUCUUCACCAUCAUUUCCGGUGGAAAUCAAUGGAUCUUCAAGAGCAAACAUGUUGAAGCUCUUCAAAAAUUUUUCGAGCAAUGUUAUAUGUAAAUAAAGCACAUGUGAUAUGAAAGUCUAAUCCACAAGAGCAAUGAUAAACGAAGGCCUUACAUGUCUUAUUACAAAAAUCGCAAAUGCAGCGUACUCCUUGAGCAUAAGGUGACUUUUGCAGGAGGAGAAGCGGAUGGUUGCGAUGAAAAGGGUGAUUCAUCUCUGAGGAUGCCUCAGCACAUUCUUAUGGAGGUGAAACCCACACUCCACACAGCUAAAACUUGGAGCUGACAGUGACACCUCCUCCCCACACGUUGAGCAGUAAGCUUCUUCACUUUGAUUGCUCUGCUUUUCAAUAAACACCAGUGGAUGUUGGUGCCCAAAAUUUUCAGACUCACUCAUCUCUCUUUCCGAUUCGCACCUAUACCACAAUAGGUUCCAAAAGGAAAGGGGAACUUUGGCUAUAACAAAGAAAGAUGUAAUAGGGCCAAUGCUUAUAAAAUAAAGAGAGUGUAGUAUUUCUAAUGCUAAUACCUUAUUCCUUGCGUGCCGACACAUUCAAAAUGGAAAAAAGAAGAAAGAAUCCCACAAAGGCAGAGACCUAACUAAACCAAGAAACAAGGUAGAUGCUUUGAUGGCAGGCAUAGCAAAAUAUAACGGCAUAUAAAAGUAAAAAGCGAGUAUGAGGAUUGCAUGCUCUAUUCAAGUUUGAAACUUUUACUUUGUAAGUUUAAAGUUAGAGCAUCCCUUAGGAUACAAUGCAAGCUACUGAGGUCAAUGGUAUAACAAUUCUAGGCUCUGGCAGCAAUGAAGUUGUCUAAAUUUAAAAUCCUUCCAAUAUAUCUAAUGAAACAUGUAUGUAGAAUACAAUAUAAAUAAAUAAAUAAAAACAUUAUUAAUUUAAAUUAUUAAUUAUUAAUUUAUUACAAUAUUGAUGGACCUUGAUGUGUAUAAUUUAUUUUAUAUGAACUAAAAGAUUUGGUCUUAGGAAGAACAUAAUAUAAUGAAUACUUUUAUAAUAACCAAAACAAAUAAAAAAAACAUUAUUAAUUUAAAUUCAAAAAAUCAAGAAAUAUAAUAAAGCACUAUUAUAUAGUCAGGCUCAAGGGAAGAAUUCUUAUAUAUUUUGUGUCUUCCUAAUUAAGGAAAUUGAAGGAGGAAGAAGCUGGUGGGGGAAUUCGUUGCCUUCUUGAAGAAGCUUAUAUCAUAGGUUUCAUGAAAAGUUAUCUGCCACCAAAGUUGAAAAACUGCUGCUAGCCUUGGUUGGUUACUGGUUUCUUUAGGCUCAUUACGUUUUCUUUUUCCAAAAUUGUUGCUUUUGUGUCGUGUUGGUCAGUUGAACCAUUUGGCUAUUGCAGUUUCCAGUGACAAAAUCACAAUAUUGCUACAUGUUGGGCUAUGGUUAAAUAGUAACAGAGUUAAGAGGACAAGUUUGAGCAAUUGAAUAUAGGUAUUCUUUUAUGACAAAAAAAUUUAGUAGAGGGACAAAUGAUACUAAUAACAAUCCAUUUAAAUCAGCGAAACUUUGUACCAAAGAAAAGGAUCGAAGUUCCAUGUCAUACAUGUGAGAGGUCAUCUUUUUGGAACAUAUUACUCCUUUCUUCCAAAGUUGGCAGCACCCCCUCAAUUAACUCUCAACAGUGAAAGUAAUACAUUAAACAUGCCAACUACCUAAUCUUGCCCUACACUGUAGUACAACAUGCUUUUUGGAUUUCUUUUUCCAAUUUGUGCAAUAAAAUAUUAAAAAAAAAAGGCAGUAUGUUCCGUUUGUGACAGAGGGCCUCCAAGCUUAAGCAGGUACCAGACUAGGAAGAACAUGGAAAACUCAAGUAACUUACAAAGGAUAAACAACUCCACUUCAAAUAAGCAUCACACCAGUCAAAAUUUUUAACAAUCACAUUUUAGAUUGGCUGGAAUACAAUCUUUUCUUUUUUUUCCUUCAAGAGAUGCAAAUGGUACUCCUGCACACAUUUUCCCACAAAUGAAACCCAUAUAAACAUCAACUGUAACCGGAAAUUAUUAUAGAAUUUAAAGGUCAGUCAUAUAUAAGAAUCAUCAAUAAAUUAUGGGAAUAUGACCAUAUGCUGCAAAAUGUCCUUUUGCGAGUCAAUCAAGAAAAUUGUUUCCUACUGGCUGGACUCUAACCAAAAAUAUAGCUAUUUAAAGAGUCAAAUUUUACGCAGAAGUCCUGAACAUACCUUGUUUCUUAGUAAAGAGGCGCAUCCUAUCUCCACAUUCGUCUUACCACCAACGACCAUGGUUGCUUUAGGCUUUUGUACUACUAUGAGCCAUCACUGACCAAGCCUCUACAACAGAUGCAGCAUAGAUGAGGACAGAUUCCUGUUUCUGAGAGCAGCUAAAUAUUCAAAAUUUCUCAAAAGCUGCUAUUCCAGCCAAAUCAUGGGCAUUUGUGUACCAAAAAAGAAAUGUACAAUCCAGUAAAAGAAUCAGAUAAUAUCCCCGAAACUCCCUACCAGGAGUGCAGAACCCAAUCUAGCUACAAGGGUGUAAAUUAUAUGUCUAUUAAAUAUACAUGAUCUCUAGUGACAGGUGCACUGUGAUCAUUGACAAUCUCAUUUACCAAGUGAAUGGAAAAGUUGACAACCUGUUUGCAGCAUAUACCUUCUCAACACCCCAGUCUAAACAUUUCUUUAAAAGAAAUUCAGGAAGGGCAAUUAAUUGAGUCAUCAGAAUCAUAUUCGGAAAAUAAAUCACAAUCUGACUCCACUUCAGAAUCAAGACCACUUUCACCCGCUUUAUCACCAAGAACAAUCUUUGAUGGGUCCUCAAGACCUACAUUGGCAGUUUUCUUGUAUAAGCCCCUGCUUCUAUCCAUAAAUCCUUUUCUCAUCAUGCUUGCAAAUCUUUCUCUAAUAUCAACAAGUGGAUGUCUCUGAAUAAGUUGUUGACAAUCAUAGGCUUCCCUAAGAACAACAGUUUGUGUAUCACACAUCUUGGAAAUAUAAAAGAUGCCAGGAUGGCGCUCAAACACCUUAGUAAACUUCUGAGGCAGUGACAAUGGUUUGUGUAGAUUACUCACAUUUUGCCAUUCAGUUUUCUUCUGUAUGGUAAGGUGAAGAAGCUCAUGAAACACGCCCACAAUUCUCUUCUCUGACACAUCAGUACGUGGAUCCAAGUGAGAGGCAUCAACAUAAGGUGACGUAUAAGGUAGUUUCUGCCAUUCUCUUAACCACUCCGUGCAUUUCCUCUUCAAUCCAAAACCCCUUGUAAAUCCUAUUGGAAAUGCUAAACAGUUAUUUUUCAAAUCUUCCUCCAUUUGCAGAAAAGCAUUCUUCUCUAAUUGGGAGACAGCAAGUGUAUCAUCCCAUGAUAAAAGUUUCAAACCAAAGCGAUCGUCAGCAACGUGAACAAAAGAAAAUAAAUCAGGGUAACAUGGAAUGAAGGUUUUGCUGUAAUUAUAAGGCAAUCCCAUAUCCCAUUUCAGCUGGUCGAUAGUUUGUAAGGGAAGGGUCCUAUCCUUGGUAAGCAUCAGCAAUUUGCAGAGCCUGUCAAGCAAAUCAAUCACACUCUCCUGGAUAACACCAACUUCUUCAUGGUAAAGAUUUAAGGCUUCGGCGGUCAACUCAAAGCAAGGAACACGAGUGCCACUGCUGUCAAACACAUAAGACUCAUGAAAAGUAGUAGGGUAUCUCCUCAUAAAUGUGGAUAGCUUAAGAUCAUGGGGCAGACCGAGUUGACCACGAUACCAGGUAAGAUGGUAAAUGGGGAGACGGCAAUUGGAAGCAGAGGAAAUGAUGGAAACAAGAUUGCAGGCUGCUCUUAAAUCUCUUUCAGCAGCAAUAACGGCAUCUAAGGCUUUAUCUUUAACCCAUUUCAACUUAACAUAAACUAGACUGAAAUUCUGCUGGUAAUUAAAUCCCCUCCUCAACAAACAUGAAAAGCUAGAAACUUUAGCUUUUCCACACAAAAACCACUAACCCAUGUCCUUAUUUAAAUAGAAAAAUGAUUAUAAAUCAAUAAUAAGAUGCUCCCAAGUUCACCAAUAAAACAGCCUUAGCAACAUCUACAGUGACAAAGACAAAUACCCAGAUUAAGAUUUUUGGUAAAUUCUGCAUAAACUGCUUGGUAAAGUAAAUAAACAAGAGAAAAAGACCAAAAAGGAAAAAUAGUUAAUUCCUCUGAGACAAUUUAUCAAACAUAAUGCCGCGAUAUGAAAACUGCUUACCUUAAUGAGGCUGAGCUGAAACACCUCAACGAUUAAAACUUGGAUGUCCUUUUAGAGGUUUUAAGUUUGAAUCUUGAGAAGAGACUGAGAAGCGUGAGAUUAUAAUCAUUACCAAAAAAAAAAUUGAAAGCAAAAUAUUUUAAAAAGUCGUGCGAAAUUUUCAAUUUGAAAGUAAAUUUGUGUCUGAGUGCAGCAAAAGCACUUUUAUUUUCAGGUAUUAACCAAGUACAGUAAGGAUUUAUAACAAUUUGAGUGCAUGAAUGGCAGGAGCAAGAAUGUUUUUGGAAGCAUAUUCAGUUGCUUGCAUUGAACACUAAACGGAAUGGGAGUGUAAUUUGCCACAUAUUGGUACAAAAACUAGUUUAAUUAGAAAAAAAAAUUUGAGACCCAAAUUUUACUUUCCUAGAAAAAAAAAUAACAUGCCUAAAUAAUCAUAUGUUUUGUAUUUACAUCUAUGAUUAGAGUUUUAUGUAAUUUUAUCAAUAUAAUAGAGUUAGAUUAAACCCUUUCAUAAGUUUAAACUAUCACUUCUUUAUUUUUAUUUUUCUGUUUUAUCAUUUAAGAAUAGUUAAAAUUGAAACUUAUUUUUCUUCAAAAAAAAAACUUAUUUAUGAAAUUAUGAUAAAAAUUUUCAAAUUUGACUUGAAAACUUUUACAUGUAAUGAAGUAAAAUAAAACUUUAAUCUUCACUUUCCAAGUUCAAAUUUUAUGGUUGAAAUAAAAAAAAUUAGCAACAAAAAGAGUUAAUGGAAGAAUGAGAUGAAAUAAUUUCAUACAAAGUCAACAAGUGAUACAUUUAAACAAUACAACAUGUACCAACUUUAUUGUCAUUACAAUCACACUGUCAAAUUAAAGGGAAUUUCUAGACUAAAUAAACAAAAGCAAUCCAAACCUCACACAUUCUAAGUUCAGAUGCCUACAUUACAUUUAAACUUAUAAUUGAAAAAUAAGUUAUAAUUACAAAAAUAACAAGCAUGACAAGUAACAAAGUAUGGACCAUACUCUGCCUGGGUUUCCUUGCAAAUUAAGUGGAAGUUUUCAAGUAUCUUGACCAAUAACACUUCUGUCCUGCCUUUUCUCAAGAAGAGAAUUACUCUCAUAGAUCAAUUGGUUCUGUACAUUUCCAAUGGACAAUAUAGUUACAUCCAAGAGUAGCACAUUCAAGAGCCAAUUCUUUACAAGGCUCACCACAUUCAAUGCAUUGAGGGUAGUAAUAAAUCUUCUUCACAAAGAUGAGAGGAUGUGGAUGAUCUCCUUCUUUGUAGGUACUCCCGAGUUUGAUAUAUCGAUAGUCUUCAAGAACACAAUCCUUAUGAGCAGAAGUAUCACAAGUUGCACAAUGAUAAAACCAAUAAUUUGAAUUUCUUCUCUCCUCACAAAUGUCACAAUAAUGACAUUCUGAAUAAUCAUUAUCAUCUUUAUAAGUGAGUACAAAAACAUGUUCAUCGCAUUUGUGUCGAGUUGUAGUUGGUAGAGCAACACAUGUCACACAUAAAGCAAAAUUGCAACCCUUACAACAGUAUCCUUCAUCCAUGUCAUCACCACAACCACAACACUUCCCUUCAUACUCGACAUAAAGAAGGAGGGGGUGUUUAUGUCCUUGACAUGUUAGAGUAUCAGGAGUUAGAGACAUACAUCGAAGGCAUACACGAUCGCCACAUUCGUUACAUCUAUAGGCAAAGCCAUUGGAUAGGUAACGACAUGAUUCACAUCUAAAAAUGCAGUCAGAAAUGAGGAUGAAGGAACUUUGCUGGCAAUAAUGAAACCAAACAUGCUUCAUCAUCUUAGGUAAUUCAGCACAGGCUUUAUGAAGAAAGAAAUCACAUUCUAAACAAUAGUAAAAGGAAGCUGAGAUAGGUAACAUGCACGCCUCACAAUAUUUAUCAUACUCCGCAAUUUUCUCACUUAACAUCAACUCAUGCAUAUGCUUGAAAUGUUUUAUUUUUGUGGCUUCUCCAGCAUCAUUCCUCUCAAUAACACAAGUGAUGGAGUCGAUAGAUUCACCAGGCAAAAGUGCCAAACUAUUCGUAGAUUCCUCAUCUUGAUUUUCUGGUGAGACUUCAUAAUACCAAUUUUUUUCCUUUGUUGCACAAUUCACAUGGGCAGUAAUUUUGCAAUCUGAACAAAAGUAACAGCCGUGCGCUGCAUUGACGUCUUCAUGACAAAUUAUGCAAUCCCAACUCUCAAAAUUGUCUUCAUGAAGGAAAUAUUUGUGAAAAAUGCGAUGGUGAUGCCACUUGUGUUUGAUAAUGCGUGGUAAUGAAAUGCAUUUUUUAUGAACUAUAAUGCUGCAUGUGCUACACAUGUAGGCAGCACAAUUUCCUUCAGUACCACAUGCACUACAAAUGAAAGGGAAUUGUAUCCAAAACAGGGUGAAUGGGUGUUGAUGACUUUUAUCUUCAAUGAUGGGUGGGGGUGCGGUUGAUACACACUCAAUGUGAACAGCAACCUUGCAAGGCAAACAACAAUAAACAAAUCCUCUUCGUCGGGUUUCUUCGCAUAUGUUGCAAGAAAGCCGUAGACUAUUAAAUUGUAGAACAAGAGGAUGUUUGCGGUGACACAUAUGAUUGAUUUUGAGAGGUAAUUCAGCACAUUUUUUAUGGAGAUGGAAUCCACAAUCAAGAGAAAAGUAGGUAGAACUUAGCAACGGUUUCCAACACCCGAAACAAUGAAAACUUUCAAGUUUUUCACCAUCGUUUUCGGUGGAAAUCAAUGGCUCUUCAAGAGCAACAUGUUGAAGCUCUUCAACAUUUUGUUGAGCAAUAUUAUAUGUAAAUAAAGCACACGCGAUAUGAAAGUCUAAUCCGCAAGAGCAAUGAUAAAUGGAAGCCUCACAUAUCUCAUCACAAAAAUCACAAAUGCAGUCUAACCCCGGAGCAUAAGGUGAACUUUGCAGGAGGAGGAGAGGAUGCUUGGGAUGAAAAGGGUGAUUGAUCUCCAGGGGUGCCUCAGCACAUCUCUUAUGGAGGUAAAACCCACA